RNAcentral lists this non-coding RNA (30 nucleotides) under Mus musculus (house mouse). Lineage: Eukaryota; Metazoa; Chordata; Mammalia; Rodentia; Muridae. The record is from RNAcentral.
UGAUAUACCAGACCCGAAGGUGGAUUUGCU